GGGGGGGGGGGGGGGGUGUGGGUUGGUGUGGGUGUGUGGGUUGUGGUGGUGGGGAGGUGUUGGAACUCCAAGUAUGCAUUGCGCAACUGACAUCCAGUUAAUAAUGAGACAAGGGACGUUGCUCCUGAACAGAAAGGGACUGUUGUUCGUCCAGCUCUUUUUGAGCUGUUCUGAAAGUGAUGAUAGAGUCCGGAUGACAAGACUUGAAGAUUGCUUCAUUACGGGUUUUCCAAACAUACCAGCACAUAAAAGCCGCUAAUUUCAACUCUCUCUUGUCAAUGCCAUUAGGUACAUUAGUCAUCAAUUCCCACCAUUCUUUAAAAGAUCUAAACCCAACCUCGGAGGGAAAGAAACCUAAGGCAGAACCAAACUAUGCUGCUUUUCCAUGAGAACAAAGAAUCAGAAGGUGGUCCAUAGUUUCAGUAUGAUGAUUGACAACUAGGGGUGAUGAGGAGCCAACAGAACCUCUUCCAUUGUUCACAGGUCUCACUACUAGAGCAAGAACAAGAAAACUUCAAAAUCUAGUCAUUGAGCAUUGGAGGCACCACGAGACAAAUGCCAAUCACAUUGAACCGUCAUGUUUAUUAUUGGAGACCAAGUGGAUCAUUCUCACCCAAAUAGGCAAUAUGCCGCAUGGUGCCACGUCAUCACCCACGAGGUGACAUGUCCCUCCCACAUUCGGCCAACCUGGCAUUUGGAGAUUACUUGGCUGCCAUCUUACCAAUAUGUAUGGCUUUAGAUGAUUUGGCCAAUUGAGCAAAUCUGGAAUGUUCUCCCCAUGACAGCUAUCCCAAAUCUAGAAUAUUCUUUCCCAUACCAGAUGCCAUAUUUUAAGGAGGAUAUUUUCAUUUCUUUUAUCUUAUAAUGCCAUGUAGGCAGCACUUUGUUAGUGCCCCAUCUUUAUAUAUACAUGUCUUCUUUAUUUUUUUUGGGUAACUUGAAGAGUCAUUUUUUAGAGAAAACACUCCAGAGAAUUCUGCCACCAUUGUUGAAUGAGUGAGCUUGUAUUUUCUUCCUUGUUUCUUGUAAGAACUUAGAUUUAAGCAAUCUGAUCACAUUGCUUGUCUUAUUUUGAUGAUCAAGGUACUCUUUGACAGGUUCUAAUUGUAUUUUGACACUCGAUCAAUACAUUUUCUUUUGCAUUUCUUCUUAGUGCCUUAUCACAUUGAUUGAUAUUGUGUUGAGUGGAUGCAAAGUCUGCCUUGUUGGAUGGAUGAAUUUGGGUGCUGUUUGUGAGUGCUUAUCAAGGGGACUCAGCACAUUUGUGCUUGAAUAAAUUCUCUCUUAUGGCCAGUGAAUUCCUACUAGAUUUCCACAUAAAAAUACGAAUCUUAUGAGGUACUGGAAGCGACUGUUGAAAAAAUAAUUUGUAAUUUCCUAUAUAUGUCUAGGUUCAUUUGUCUUUUAGUUUUUUCUUGGUGAUUAAAUAUAAUUAAUGUAAUAGUUCAAAGCAUGUGUCUUUUUUGGUUUCUUAGAUGGUUCAUGAAUGGAUAUUAACUUAGGUUCAUGUAACUAGAACUUGAGGGGUUGCCUAAAC
RNAcentral lists this unclassified non-coding RNA (1537 nucleotides) under Hevea brasiliensis (rubber tree). Lineage: Eukaryota; Viridiplantae; Streptophyta; Magnoliopsida; Malpighiales; Euphorbiaceae. The record is from RNAcentral.